UACGGGGGGGGCAAGCGUUGUUCGGAAUUACUGGGCGUAAAGGGCUCGUAGGCGGCCAACUAAGUCAGGCGUGAAAUCCCUCGGCUUAACCGGGGAACUGCGUCUGAUACUGGAUGGCUUGAGUUCGGGAGAGGGAUGCGGAAUUCCAGGUGUAGCGGUGAAAUGCGUAGAUAUCUGGAGGAACACCGGUGGCGAAGGCGGCAUCCUGGACCGACACUGACGCUGAGGAGCGAAAGCCAGGGGAGCAAACGGG
Molecule: ribosomal RNA, 253 nt
Filed under: uncultured bacterium
Lineage: Bacteria
Description: partial 16S ribosomal RNA
Rfam family: Bacterial small subunit ribosomal RNA
Source: RNAcentral